RNAcentral lists this transfer RNA (71 nucleotides) under Neotoma lepida (desert woodrat). It matches the Rfam family "tRNA". Rfam says of the family: Transfer RNA (tRNA) molecules are approximately 80 nucleotides in length. Lineage: Eukaryota; Metazoa; Chordata; Mammalia; Rodentia; Cricetidae. The record is from Rfam by way of RNAcentral.
GCCCGGCUAGCUCAGGGUAGAGCAUGAGACUCUUAAUCUCAGGGUCAUGGGUUCGAGCCCCACCUUGGGCG